This 253-nucleotide ribosomal RNA is filed under the name uncultured bacterium. RNAcentral describes it as "partial 16S ribosomal RNA". It matches the Rfam family "Bacterial small subunit ribosomal RNA", at positions 524 to 776 of the family's 1533-position model. The record is from RNAcentral.
UACGGAGGAUCCAAGCGUUAUCCGGAUUCACUGGGUUUAAAGGGUGCGUAGGAGGGCAGGUAAGUCAGUGGUGAAAUCUUCGAGCUUAACUCGGAAACUGCCGUUGAUACUAUCUGUCUUGAAUACCGUGGAGGUGAGCGGAAUAUGUCAUGUAGCGGUGAAAUGCUUAGAUAUGACAUAGAACACCAAUUGCGAAGGCAGCUCGCUACACGAAUAUUGACUCUGAGGCACGAAAGCGUGGGGAUCAAACAGG